Molecule: long non-coding RNA, 379 nt
Organism: Telopea speciosissima
Lineage: Eukaryota; Viridiplantae; Streptophyta; Magnoliopsida; Proteales; Proteaceae
Exons: 4
Source: RefSeq, a predicted model, not a curated record
GAGAAUAUCAAUUGGGACUGUGACUUACAUUACAUGUCCUUUGCAUACCGAUCUAUAUUGACAAGUUGAUUCUUCAAGAAUUUCCCCCUCCAAUCACAGCAGGAAAGGUGCCUUAAUGGGGGUGGAAGUGGGUGCCGAAAGAGUGCUGCCAUUUCCUUCAUUGCAACAUAGUAUGAUGCAUCAAAAGGAUUGCUGCUCGAUCCUUUCCUUUUAAGUGCUCUUUUUUCCUUUUCAUUUCAACAGGUGAGGACUGUACCAGCUAGAAUUGUAGAAUUCGCAGUGUUGACAGAAUAAUCUUCUAAGAUUCAAAAUAUAUACUAUCUAUGGUCUUGAGCUGCUCCAUCUCCUCCACUUGUGCAAUCCCAGGAUCAACAAAACA